RNAcentral lists this long non-coding RNA (360 nucleotides) under Anser brachyrhynchus (Pink-footed goose). RNAcentral describes it as "lncRNA (ENSABRG00000020040.1)". The record is from RNAcentral. Lineage: Eukaryota; Metazoa; Chordata; Aves; Anseriformes; Anatidae.
AUGUUAAAAUCAUACGAUUUUCAGGAACACCUAAGUGUGUUUACAAAUUCCAUGCAUAUCCACUGGAUUUCUUCAAAACAGAAAGCCAUUGUGAUGCAACACAGAAAUUACUGGAGACCCAGCAUGUGGAUGACAGCAGCAGCACAAAAGGAGCACACCACCUUAACAGCAGGCUUGAUGGUUGUUCACACAAGGAGUCUGGCCUGCAUAAUUGUAUCACUAAUAAGCAGUAAGGCAAUUAGUUGUCACAGCCUCUGUGACAGAUUUGUAGUAAGCAGCUGUCUCAGGUGUUCUCUCUCUUACAGAUAAUAUAACUGAUCAGAUAUUCUGAAAAUAUAUACUUAAGAAGUUAAAUGAAUA